AGUGGCGGAGACGCUUAGAGGAGGUGAAAGCAUUGGCGGAAAGAAAAUUCAAGGGGGAAAAUGCAGCUGGAGUCGUGUGUACUACUCCUUGGCCAAGAGGGGCCAUUUCAAUCGAAUAUCUCAUAGCCUCUAGGGACUUUCUGCAGCGCCUCUGAGAACUUACACAGAUCGGUCAAUUGAUGUUGAUGUAACAGUUAUAGGUUCUGGUCCUGGAGGGUAUGUUGCUGCUAUUAAAGCUGCCCAGUUAGGCUUCAAGACAGUCUGCAUUGAGACAAAUGAAACACUUGGUGGAACAUGCUUGAAUGUUGGUUGUAUUCCAUCUAAGGCUUUAUUAAAUAACUCUCAUUAUUAUCAUAUGGCCCAUGGAAAAGAUUUUGCAUCUAGAGGAAUUGAAAUGCCUGAAUUUCGCUUGAAUUUAGAUAAGAUGAUGGAGCAGAAUAAGGUUGUUCAUGUCGAUGGAUAUGGAAAGAUAACUGGCAAAAAUCAGGUCACUGCUACGAAAACUGACGGCAGCACUCAGGUUAUUGACACAAAGAACAUUCUCAUUGCUACGGGUUCAGAAGUUACUCCUUUUCCUGGAAUCACGAUUGAUGAAGAUGCAGUAGUGUCAUCCACAGGAGCUUUAUGUUUUAAAAAAGUUCCAGAGAAGAAGGUUAUUAUUGGUGCAGGCGUUAAUAGGUGUAGAAUUGGGUUCAGUUUGGCAAAGAGUUGGUGCAGACGUGACAGGAGUUGAAUUUUUGGGUCACGUAGAUGGAGUUGGAAUUGACAUGGAAAUAUCUAAAAACUUUCAACGCAUCCUUCUAAAACAGGGGUUUACAUUUAAGUUGAAUACAAAGGUUACUGGUGCUACCAAGAAGUCAGAUGGAAAAAUUGAUGUUUCUAUUGAAGCUGCUUCUGGUGGUAAAGCUGAAGUUAUCACUUGUGAUGUACUCUUGGUUUGCAUUGGCUGAUGACCGUUUACUCAGAAUUUGGGACUAGAACAGCUUGGAAUUGAACUAGAUCCCAGAGGUAGAAUUCCAGUCAAUACCAGAUUCCAAACUAAAAUUCCAAAUAUCUAUGCCAUUGGUAAUGUAGUUGCUGGUCCAAUGCUGGCUCACAAAACAGAGGAUGAAGGUAUUAUGUGUGUUGAAGGAAUGGCUGGUGGUGCUGUGCACAUCGACUACAAUUGUGUACCAUCAGUGAUUUACAUACACCCUGAAGUUGCUUGGGUUGGCAAAUCAGAAGAGCAGUUGAAAGAAGAGGACAUUGAGUACAAAGUUGGGAAAUUCCCAUUUGCUGCUAACAGCAGAGCUCAGACAAACGCUGAUACAGACGGCAUGGUGACGAUUCUUGGGCAGAAAUCAACAGUGUACUAGGAGCACAUAUUCUUGGACCAGGUACUGGAGAAAUGGUAAAUGAAGCUGCUCUUGCUUUGGAAUAUGGAGCAUCCUGUGAAGAUAUAGCUAGAGUCUGUCACGCACAUCCAACCUUAUCAGAAGCCUUUAGAGAAGCAAACCUGGCUGCAUCAUUUGGCAAACCUAUCAACUUUUAAAUAGAAGAUUAU
RNA transcript from Nycticebus coucang (slow loris), 1543 nucleotides. It is a transcript of the gene named dihydrolipoyl dehydrogenase, mitochondrial-like, with no coding region annotated. The transcript has a single exon. Lineage: Eukaryota; Metazoa; Chordata; Mammalia; Primates; Lorisidae. The record is from RefSeq and is a predicted model, not a curated record.